GACGAACGCUGGCGGCGUGCUUAACACAUGCAAGUCGAGCGGUAAGGCCCUUUCGGGGGUACGACGAGCGGCGAACGGGUGAGUAACACGUGGGUGACCUGCCCUCAGCUCUGGGAUAAGCCUGGGAAACUGGGUCUAAUACUGGAUAUGACUCCACGGUGCAUGUCGUGGGGUGGAAAGCCUUGUGCGGCUGAGGAUGGGCCCGCGGCCUAUCAGCUUGUUGGUGGGGUGAGGCCUACCAAGGCGACGACGGGUAGCCGGCCUGAGAGGGCGACCGGCCACACUGGGACUGAGACACGGCCCAGACUCCUACGGGAGGCAGCAGUGGGGAAGUCUUGCGCAAUGGGCGAAAGCCUGACGCAGCGACGCCGCGUGAGGGAUGACGGCCUCGG
RNAcentral lists this ribosomal RNA (392 nucleotides) under uncultured bacterium. RNAcentral describes it as "bacterial SSU rRNA". It matches the Rfam family "Bacterial small subunit ribosomal RNA", at positions 28 to 420 of the family's 1533-position model. The record is from RNAcentral.